Molecule: ribosomal RNA, 492 nt
Filed under: uncultured bacterium
Lineage: Bacteria
Description: partial 16S ribosomal RNA
Rfam family: Bacterial small subunit ribosomal RNA
Source: RNAcentral
AGUGAACGCUGGCGGUAGGCCUAACACAUGCAAGUCGAGCGGCAGCACAGUAAGAGCUUGCUCUUACGGGUGGCGAGUGGCGGACGGGUGAGGAAUACAUCGGAAUCUACUUUUUCGUGGGGGAUAACGUAGGGAAACUUACGCUAAUACCGCAUACGACCUACGGGUGAAAGCAGGGGAUCUUCGGACCUUGCGCGAUUGAAUGAGCCGAUGUCGGGUUAGCUAGUUGGCGGGGUAAAGGCCCACCAAGGCGACGAUCCGUAGCUGGUCUGAGAGGAUGAUCAGCCACACUGGAACUGAGACACGGUCCAGACUCCUACGGGAGGCAGCAGUGGGGAAUAUUGGACAAUGGGCGCAAGCCUGAUCCAGCCAUACCGCGUGGGUGAAGAAGGCCUUCGGGUUGUAAAGCCCUUUUGUUGGGAAAGAAAGGCAGCAGGUUAAUACCCCGCUGUUCUGACGGUACCCAAAGAAUAAGCACCGGCUAACUUCGUG